GCCCGGGUGGCGGAACUGGUAGACGCAAGGGACUUAAAAUCCCUCGGUACUGAGUACUGUGCGGGUUCGAUUCCCGCCCCGGGCACCA
Molecule: transfer RNA, 88 nt
Filed under: Desulfobacteraceae bacterium
Lineage: Bacteria; Pseudomonadati; Thermodesulfobacteriota; Desulfobacteria; Desulfobacterales; Desulfobacteraceae
Description: tRNA-Leu
Rfam family: tRNA
About the family: Transfer RNA (tRNA) molecules are approximately 80 nucleotides in length. Their secondary structure includes four short double-helical elements and three loops (D, anti-codon, and T loops).
Source: RNAcentral